GAAAUGCGAUAAGUAAUGUGAAUUGCAGAAUUCAGUGAAUCAUCGAAUCUUUGAACGCACAUUGCGCCCGUCAGUAUUCUGGCGGGCAUGCCUGUUCGAGCGUCAUUUCAACCAUCAAGCUUUAGGCUUGUGUUGGGGCACUGCGGCUGCCGCAGUCCCCUAAAAGCAGUGGCGGACUCGCUGUCAUACCGAGCGUAGUAGUAUAUCUCGCUAGGGCAUGGCGGCGGGCACCAGCCGUAAAACACACCAAACAAGGUUGACCUCGGAUCAGGUAGGAAUACCCGCUGAACUUAA
This 294-nucleotide unclassified non-coding RNA is filed under the name uncultured Sordariales. RNAcentral describes it as "sequence contains ITS1". The stretch from base 1 to 105 matches the Rfam family "5.8S ribosomal RNA", at positions 50 to 154 of the family's 154-position model. Lineage: Eukaryota; Fungi; Ascomycota; Sordariomycetes; Sordariales. The record is from RNAcentral.